Molecule: microRNA precursor, 56 nt
Filed under: Drosophila ananassae
Lineage: Eukaryota; Metazoa; Arthropoda; Insecta; Diptera; Drosophilidae
Description: Dan-Mir-124_pre stem-loop
Rfam family: mir-124 microRNA precursor family
About the family: The mature ~21nt miRNAs are processed from hairpin precursor sequences represented here, in this case originating from the 3' arm. The bounds of the precursors are predicted based on conservation and base pairing and are not generally known.
Source: RNAcentral
GGUAUCCACUGUAGGCCUAUAUGUAUUUCGACCAUAAGGCACGCGGUGAAUGCCAA